AACGCACAUUGCGCCCCUUGGUAUUCCGAGGGGCAUGCCUGUUCGAGCGUCAUUAUCACCCCUCAAGCCUAGCUUGGUGUUGGGGCCUGCCCGUAAGGGCAGCCCUUAAAAUCAGUGGCGGCGCCGUCAGGCUCUAAGCGUAGUAAUACUUCUCGCUAUAGAGCCCUGGCGGUCUCUUGCCAAAACCCCUAAUUUUUUAUGAUUGACCUCGGAUCAGGUAGGGUUACCCGCUGAACUUAA
This 240-nucleotide unclassified non-coding RNA is filed under the name uncultured Helotiales. RNAcentral's name for it is "sequence contains ITS2". The stretch from base 1 to 52 matches the Rfam family "5.8S ribosomal RNA", at positions 103 to 154 of the family's 154-position model. The record is from RNAcentral. Lineage: Eukaryota; Fungi; Ascomycota; Leotiomycetes; Helotiales.